This 48-nucleotide non-coding RNA is filed under the name Trichobilharzia regenti. Lineage: Eukaryota; Metazoa; Platyhelminthes; Trematoda; Strigeidida; Schistosomatidae. The record is from RNAcentral.
AUCCAGGUGACGAGUCCCACAUAGGACGAAAUGCGCUUUGUCCUGGAU